This is a long non-coding RNA of Neofelis nebulosa (Clouded leopard), 1991 nucleotides long. RefSeq lists it as uncharacterized. The record is from RefSeq and is a predicted model, not a curated record. NCBI's taxonomy places the organism in Eukaryota, Metazoa, Chordata, Mammalia, Carnivora, Felidae. The transcript has 3 exons.
GUGAGCAGGGGAGGGGCAGAGAGGCUCCAGGCUUUGUCAACACACAGCCCCAACAUGGGGCCUGAACUCUCGGGCUGCGAGAUCAUGACCUGAGCUGAAGUCGAGUGGUUAACCAACUGAGCCACCCAGGCGCCCCGGGAACUGACAAUUUCAAACAGAGGUAACUGUGUGAGCAAAGGCCCUGUGGCAUGAAGAAUCGUGACCUGAGAGGCCACCGUGGCAUCUGUCUGAAGGAGCAGGAUACGGAGUUUCUUCUUUGUUUUAGAGCAAUAGCAGCCGUUGCAGGGUUUUAAGCAGAAAGGCGGCGUUCUCAGAAUUCAGCUUCCAAAAGAUCACUCCGGCUCCUGAGUGGAGGUGGUGGUGGAAAAAUGCCCAGUGAAAGGAUAGUGCAGGGAUCCGGGCUGUUACAGGACGAGGCUCCUGGAGUCAUGUGGACAGGAGGCCGCGGUGGCUUAGGUGGAGAAUGGAUUUGGGAGGUAUCUAGCGGACGAAAUCAACAAGACUGGAUGUUCGGAUCAGAAUGGGGGUGAGGGAGAAAGGGCAGUGAAGGGUGAGGCCUAGAUGUCUGGCUUACGUAACGGAAAAGGUGGGCGUGGCUUCUGCUGAGAUCAGGGAAGUAGAAGGGAGCCACGGAUGGGUGGGUGGGAAGUUCAGGAAGUUAGUUCUGGAACUGUAGGGAUAGCUGGGAGCCGUCCACGUGGAGGCAAGCCGGCAGGGGGGAAACCGGGUCUGAAGCUCGGCCGGAAUGUGUGGUCUGGAGACGCGCGUUUGGAAGUCAUGGGGGGAGAGAGAGAGAGAGAGAGACAGAGUGUGAGCGCGGGAGGGGCAGAGAGCGAGGAAGACACAGAAUCCGAAGCAGGAGCCAAGCUCCGAGCUGUCGGCGCAGAGCCCAACGCGGGGCUUGAACUCACAAACCGUGAGAUCAUGACCUGAGCUGAAGCCGGCUGCUCAACCGACUGAGCCACCCAGGUUGGCUCCAUGCCCAAAGUGGGGCUUGAACUCACAGCCCCAAGAUCAAGAGUCACAUGCGCUGCUGACUGAGCCGGCCAGGCAUCCCUGGGUCUAUUUUUAUUAACACAUGUCUUUUCCUGGAUAUGAGCUACCAUAUUCUGCUUUUAUUUUUUGCAUAUCUAGUAAUUUUUAUUGGAUGAUGGAAAUUAUGAAUAUUAUGUUGUUGGGUGUCUGAAUUUUUAUAAAAACUUCUUUUAAAGAGUGUUGAAUUUUAUUAUGACUGGAAGGCAGGUUAUCUGUGGAUCAGUUUAUCCUUUUGAUGCUUUUUUAAAACAUGUAUUUAUCUAAUUUUGAGAGAGAGAGGGAGUGCAUGCAUGCACAAGCAGGGAAGGGGAAGAGAGAGAGGGGGCGAGCAAGCUUCAGGCUCUGAGCUGUCAGCACAGAGCCUGACACUGGGCUUGAACUCACAAACUGGGAGAUCAUGACCUGAGCCUAAGUCGGAUACUUAACUGACUGAGCCACCCAAGUGCCCCUUGAUGCUUCUUCAUAAGCUUUGUUAAGAUGGGUCUACAGUAGCCUUAGCUUUAGCACUAAGUUGCAAUACUUCUAUGGUCUCCACUGAAUGCUCCAUGUUUUCAAUAUGGUCUCCCCAUUCUAGUUUUCUAAUGGGACAAUCAAGCAUCCCCAGCCGCAUGUGAGCUCUGGGAAUUUUUCAGCUCACGGCUCUUUGCGAGACCUCAUGGGGUUUCGCACCGCACAUGCGCAACGUAGUAUUCUGCCGAAACACCUAAACCGACUGUUGUGCGGAUUUGCCUGUUUCUUGAGCUCUUGCCCUGCCCAGUUCCCAUUUCCCCCAGCAUCCUGCCCUACAAAUUCCAUUCACCUCAGCAUUCCCAAACUCCAAUCCCAGUGUCUUCAGUUCAGGGAGAACAUCGCAGUCUGCCUGGUUCCCCCUUACUGGACUGCAGUCUGGAAAACGCCUCUAGUCAGAUGCCAACAGUGAUCACCAAUGUGAUCUUAGUUGGUUCAUUUCUCUCAAG